GAAAUGCGAUAAGUAAUGUGAAUUGCAGAAUUCAGUGAAUCAUCGAAUCUUUGAACGCACAUUGCGCCCGCCAGUAUUCUGGCGGGCAUGCCUGUUCGAGCGUCAUUACAACCCUCAGGCCCCCGGGCCUGGCGUUGGGGAUCGGCGGAAGCCCCCUGCGGGCACAACGCCGUCCCCCAAAUACAGUGGCGGUCCCGCCGCAGCUUCCAUUGCGUAGUAGCUAACACCUCGCAACGGGAGAGCGGCGCGGCCACGCCGUAAAACACCCAACUUCUGAAUGUUGACCUCGAAUCAGGUAGGAAUACCCGCUGAACUUAAGC
RNAcentral lists this unclassified non-coding RNA (320 nucleotides) under plant metagenome. Its description in RNAcentral is "partial contains 5.8S ribosomal RNA, internal transcribed spacer 2, and large subunit ribosomal RNA". The stretch from base 1 to 105 matches the Rfam family "5.8S ribosomal RNA", at positions 50 to 154 of the family's 154-position model. The record is from RNAcentral.